Molecule: long non-coding RNA, 429 nt
Filed under: Homo sapiens (human)
Lineage: Eukaryota; Metazoa; Chordata; Mammalia; Primates; Hominidae
Description: HSALNT0218383
Source: RNAcentral
GUUACAAACCUAACUGUGCUAAGUUAAGAGACAUUAUCAAAAUGACCCAGGAAUCACCUGAAAGGACUGGACAGCUCUGGAAAUGAGUGAAUGCAUCUUGUAAGCAAGGAGAAAACUAGAGGGAUCCGUCUGGGACUGAGUGCACCAAAACUCUUGUGUCUCUCACGAUUUAAGUUUUCUUGAAUAACUUCAUGGAAGCCAUGUACAUCUCUACUACAUCCUCUCAGGCACAUCGCUACCUGUUGGAUGCCCUGCACCCAGAGGAGACACCUGCAUACCUGAUGCUGCCCUGACUGAUUGGGGAGCUAAGUCUCUUGCAGCGGGCAUAUUUGGGAAUCCAUUGUUGCUGCACAUGUAAAUCAUGGCCUUCAAAUCCAGCUGACCCUGUAGCAGAAACACAGAUUGUGCUUUUGGUGCCUAGCCCUAGAC